CUUCUCCACUCAUUGUAGAAAAGCUACUCUUUUUUUUCUUUGGUAAUUAAAAAGUACUUGAUGGAAAGUAUAAUGAAACCACAUAAAUACCUCAUUCCUCAUCACAAUUUCAAUUUAUUCAUUUAUUCAUUUAUGUCAUAUGGACUCAUGCUUUCUUAUUUUAUUAAAUGAUUCAUAAUCCAUUAUUUUUAUUAUUUAUUUUGGUGUUUAAAUUGUCCUCAACUUUAACCAUGAAAGCCUCUUCAAGCUAGCUAUUGUAUUGUCUUGAAAUGUCCCCAGCAUUCUUUGAGUAUUUUCUUACUUUAUGGUAUGAAAAGAUGUUCCAGACUCAUUUUGCUCUUUCCUUGUAGCACCUCAGGGAAAUCUUCCUCACCCUUUCCACACCAAUAACAGAGAAGAGAGAACACAUAUUCUUCCCAAGCACACAUGGAGCCUAUGUCACAUUUUAGUCCAUAAAGGAGGGCCUAACAAAUUUUGAAGAGUGUCAUACAGACCACAUUCCUCACCAUAAUCAAAUAUGUCAGGAUCAAUAACAAAAAGAUGAUUAAAAUAACCUUAUGUAUUUGGGGGGAGGCACAUGGAUAAAAAAAGAAACCACAAUGAAAAUUUAAAAUACUUAUGACUGGAAAACAAUGGAAAAAUUAAAAUGGAACUGAGAUAAAGUAAUGUCUCAUAAAUGUCCAUAUAAGAACAAAAGAAGGGCUGAUAAUUAAGAACUUGGAAUAAGAACAGCAGAAUAAACACAAAGAAGGUAGAAUAAAGAAAAUGUUAAAGUAGGAGCAAGCAGAUAUUGAUAAAAAUAUUGUUAUAAAAACUAAAAUUGCACUCUCAUAUUUAAUAACACCCAAAAAUAUGAGUUUUACCUUUGCUCACCAGGAUUUUGAUGGCAAUAAAAUUGUUUUUAGAAGGUAACUAGGUGGUAGGAGAGCAAAUUCUAAGUUAUUGUGCAUCUGCUAUUAUUUUUAGGUCAUUCAUGUCUGAAAGUUCAACGAUUUAUCUCAAAGGAGCUUCUGAUGCAGAAACUUCAGGAGACCCUGUUGGACCGACUCUGUGGUGCCACAGUAACAAGAUGCACAAAAUUCCUUCCACACCAGAAUCUUUAACAGCGUCCUCAGAUUUGCCUAGUUCCUAGCCCUGGCCACUGUUAAGUAAACAGAAUUGAAGGACCCUCCACAAUUGCUCAGGUCAUUUACUGUGAAAGCUCUAUGGAGGUUCUGAAACUUCUCUAAACAUGUCCCUGACACAGGUUUGGACACAGCUAAGGAGCCUGUGGUCAUACUCGUGACAGGUCUGCUUAAGACAUUUUCCAGAGUGCGUUUUCUUGACUCAUUGCAGCAGGAUGCUAACCAGCCUCCCCACCGCCAAUUCCCACAGCUUCAAUUCAUCCUGGAUUCAACUGACAGACUAAUCUGCCUCGAACAUCGAUCUUAUUACAACCAUCACCUGCUCAAGUCUCGACUGAACCUCCCUAUUGCUGCCUACAUAUCCCCCCUUUCAGCCUAGCAUUCAAGGCCCUGGUCCAUCACGCUGUCCCUGAUGGAAAUCUCCAGACUUAUCUCAAAUUUCUCUGCGACAUGGCCCCUCUGCUCCAGAUAAAUCAGUCUGUCUGUACUUCAGGGCUUCCAUUUGUGUUUCACCUGCCAGAGUCAUCCCUGAAUUUCCCCUCAAUCGAAUCAUACCUUUUCAUCUAUGUCCCCCUUAUCAUGUGC
Molecule: long non-coding RNA, 1709 nt
Organism: Vulpes vulpes (red fox)
Lineage: Eukaryota; Metazoa; Chordata; Mammalia; Carnivora; Canidae
Source: Ensembl